GGUCCUAAGAGUGGAUUUAGGAUCUAGCCUGCCCAAUGAAAAUUUUGAAUGGCCGCGGUAUAUUGACCGUGCAAAGGUAGCAUAAUAAUUAGUCCUUUAAUUGAGGUCUGGUAUGAAUGGUUGGACGAGAAGGUGACUGUCUUUAGUGAUUAUUAAUCAGAAUUUUAUUUUUAAGUGAAAAAGCUUAAAUUGUCUUGAGGGACGAUAAGACCCUAUAGAUCUUUAUAUUUUUAGUUGGGGAGUGAUAAUGUAUUAUUGAGGUCAAUUGAAGGUAUUUUGUUGGGGUGAUGGGGAGAUAUAGGAAACUCUCUUAAGAGAUAAGGAGUUAUAUAUUGAUAUUAUUUAAUGAUCCGUUAGUUGCGAUAGGUGGAUUAAGUUACCUUAGGGAUAACAGCGUAAUUUUUCUUGAGAGUUCAUAUCGACAGGAAAGUUUGCGACCUCGAUGUUGGAUUAAGAGUUUCUUAGUGGUGGAGAGGCUACUAAAAGAGGGUCUGUUCGACCUUUAAUUUCUUACA
Molecule: ribosomal RNA, 515 nt
Filed under: Anelpistina sp. 5 LE-2017
Lineage: Eukaryota; Metazoa; Arthropoda; Insecta; Zygentoma; Nicoletiidae
Description: partial 16S ribosomal RNA
Rfam family: Bacterial large subunit ribosomal RNA
Source: RNAcentral